This 866-nucleotide long non-coding RNA is filed under the name Numida meleagris (helmeted guineafowl). Its description in RNAcentral is "lncRNA (ENSNMEG00000005694.1)". Lineage: Eukaryota; Metazoa; Chordata; Aves; Galliformes; Numididae. The record is from RNAcentral.
CAUCAGUGUGAAGUACCAUGCAGCAGUAAUCAAUGUAGAACAAAACUGUCAAUAUGGAAAAUGAAAUAUUUUAGACUAAAAUUUCAAGGCUUAGUUGUAGUCCUGUAGACUAAACACCAGUUGUUUAAAACUGUUUGUUUAAAUGUGUCCACGUAGAUUCUCUUCCUCAAUAAAUGCAACACAUAAGAUUACAAAUACUCAUUUUCCUUUUACACAGACAGAAAUGCCUUGAAAAGGACUCUACCUCUUAUAUUGAGACUGAAAGACUUCCAGAGGUGUUAAUGUACUCAUGAAGAAUACCAUCCUGGUUACCAUAACAUUCUAUAGAAUGUUACCACACUGCCAGCAGAGAAACUACCUUACUUACAUGGAUUCAUUUCACCAUUUUAAGCAGUGAGGGUAUCUUCCUUGUAGAACAUUUCACAUGACAUUUGCAGAGAGAGGCUGUUCAAAUGGAACCAGGAAAUUCAGGAAAACCUGCUAAAAUGAGGGACCUGUGGAAUUUCCAUCUGGAGACAGUCAUUUAUCAACAGGUGAAGCAGAAGAGAGAGAACAUGCUAAAAAAGUGGUCAUGCUCAAGGAGCAGUGGUGGAGGCUACUCGCUGCAAAGCAGUGAAGAGAAAUCAAUGACUUCUGUGUAACAUGAAAAGUUAGCAGCUCCAACUAUACCUCUUUUCAGUGGAGCCACAUGGUCUGUUUGUGAGGAGGUGAACCUGGUGCUGAACCAGAACUAAAACUGCUCCAGAAACAUCAGUGCAAAGACUGUAGCUCUGAUGUGCUUCCCAGAUAAGGGUACUCAGAGCUCUCUGGAACAUCAGGCACACAAAAUUAGCUAGGUAGGGCUUCCUUUUCUUUUACUCUUGGAG